This 156-nucleotide non-coding RNA is filed under the name Alphaproteobacteria bacterium. RNAcentral describes it as "6S RNA". It matches the Rfam family "6S / SsrS RNA". From Rfam's summary of the family: E. coli 6S RNA was the first non coding RNA to be sequenced, but its function was unknown until recently. It consists of 184 nucleotides that fold into an extended hairpin structure with a large single-stranded internal bulge. The record is from RNAcentral. Lineage: Bacteria; Pseudomonadati; Pseudomonadota; Alphaproteobacteria.
UGAUAGCUGGUUAGUGCGCCAGGCUUUUCAAUCCCUGGGACCAUAAUCUUCUGUCGGGAAUUGCCGCUGGAAAAGUCGAGGCUUUUUUAUGUGAUGCCCACCUGUAAACCAGGUCACAGAGGAUGAAAUCAUGCCAGCGGCUUUUCCGGCUAUCAC